GGGGCUGUAGCUCAGCUGGGGGAGCGCCUGCAUGGCAUGCAGGAGGUCGUCGGUUCGAUCCCGAUCAGCUCCACAA
RNAcentral lists this transfer RNA (76 nucleotides) under Elusimicrobiota bacterium. Its description in RNAcentral is "Elusimicrobia bacterium tRNA-Ala". It matches the Rfam family "tRNA". From Rfam's summary of the family: Transfer RNA (tRNA) molecules are approximately 80 nucleotides in length. Lineage: Bacteria; Pseudomonadati; Elusimicrobiota. The record is from RNAcentral.